GCUGGUGUAGCUCAGUUGGUAGAGCGGCGCAUUCGUAAUGCGUAGGUCGAGUGUUCGAGUCACUUCUCCAGCACCA
This 76-nucleotide transfer RNA is filed under the name Blastochloris viridis. RNAcentral describes it as "tRNA-Thr". It matches the Rfam family "tRNA". Rfam says of the family: Transfer RNA (tRNA) molecules are approximately 80 nucleotides in length. Their secondary structure includes four short double-helical elements and three loops (D, anti-codon, and T loops). Lineage: Bacteria; Pseudomonadati; Pseudomonadota; Alphaproteobacteria; Hyphomicrobiales; Blastochloridaceae. The record is from RNAcentral.